This 329-nucleotide unclassified non-coding RNA is filed under the name soil metagenome. RNAcentral's name for it is "partial contains 5.8S ribosomal RNA, internal transcribed spacer 2, and large subunit ribosomal RNA". The stretch from base 1 to 120 matches the Rfam family "5.8S ribosomal RNA", at positions 35 to 154 of the family's 154-position model. The record is from RNAcentral.
GAUGAAGAACGUAGUGAAAUGCGAUAAGUAAUGUGAAUUGCAGAAUUCAGUGAAUCAUCGAAUGUUUGAACGCACAUUGCGCCCCCUGGUAUUCCGGGGGGCAUGCCUGUCCGAGCGUCAUUACAACCCUCAAGCUCAGCUUGGUGUUGGGCCCCGCCGCCCCGGCGGGCCCUAAAGUCAGUGGCGGUGCCGUCCGGCUCCGAGCGUAGUAAUUCUUCUCGCUCUGGAGGCCCGGUCGUGUGCUCGCCAGCAACCCCCAAUUUUUUUCAGGUUGACCUCGGAUCAGGUAGGGAUACCCGCUGAACUUAAGCAUAUCAAUAAGCGGAGGA